RNAcentral lists this ribosomal RNA (440 nucleotides) under uncultured bacterium. Its description in RNAcentral is "bacterial SSU rRNA". It matches the Rfam family "Bacterial small subunit ribosomal RNA", at positions 338 to 790 of the family's 1533-position model. The record is from RNAcentral. RNAcentral also lists the same sequence under 1 other name.
CCUACGGGAGGCAGCAGUGGGGGAUCUUGCGCAAUGGGCGAAAGCCUGACGCAGCGACGCCGCGUGGGGGAUGAAGGCCCUCGGGUUGUAAACCCCUUUCGGCAGGGACGAAGCGAUCGUGACGGUACCUGCAGAAGAAGCCUCGGCUAACUACGUGCCAGCAGCCGCGGUAAGACGUAGGAGGCGAGCGUUGUCCGGAUUCAUUGGGCGUAAAGAGCGCGCAGGCGGCUCGGUCAGUCGGAUGUGAAAACCCGGGGCUCAACCCCGGGCAUGCAUCCGAUACUGCCGGGCUAGAGGUAGGUAGGGGAGAUCGGAAUUCCUGGUGUAGCGGUGAAAUGCGCAGAUAUCAGGAGGAACACCGGUGGCGAAGGCGGAUCUCUGGGCCUUACCUGACGCUCAGGCGCGAAAGCUAGGGGAGCGAACAGGAUUAGAUACCCUUG